This 75-nucleotide transfer RNA is filed under the name Cordylochernes scorpioides. RNAcentral's name for it is "tRNA-Thr". Lineage: Eukaryota; Metazoa; Arthropoda; Arachnida; Pseudoscorpiones; Chernetidae. The record is from RNAcentral.
UCCAGGGUAGCCUAGUGGACAUGGCAUCUGUCCGGUAAGCGGAACAUUGUAGGGUCGAUUCCCAUCCCCCAGGAC